ACGAAGGGUGCAAGCGUUACUCGGAAUUACUGGGCGUAAAGCGUGCGUAGGUGGUUGAUUAAGUCUGUCGUGAAAGCCCUGGGCUCAACCUGGGAAUUGCGAUGGAUACUGGUCGACUAGAGUGUGGUAGAGGGUGGCGGAAUUCCCGGUGUAGCAGUGAAAUGCGUAGAGAUGCGGAGGAACACCGAUGGCGAAGGCAGCCCCCUGGGCUAACACUGACGCUCAGGCACGAAAGCGUGGGGAGCAAACAGGA
This 253-nucleotide ribosomal RNA is filed under the name uncultured prokaryote. RNAcentral's name for it is "partial 16S ribosomal RNA". It matches the Rfam family "Bacterial small subunit ribosomal RNA", at positions 525 to 777 of the family's 1533-position model. The record is from RNAcentral.